This 312-nucleotide ribosomal RNA is filed under the name uncultured archaeon. RNAcentral's name for it is "bacterial SSU rRNA". It matches the Rfam family "Archaeal small subunit ribosomal RNA", at positions 452 to 763 of the family's 1478-position model. The record is from RNAcentral.
ACGGUGCCAGCCGCCGCGGUAAUACCGGCGCCUCAAGUGAUGAUCACUAUUAUUGGGCCUAAAGCGUCCGUAGCCGGUCUAAUACAUCCUUCGGUAAAUCCACCCGCUUAACGGGUGGGCUCUCGAGGGAAACUGCUUGACUUGGGACCGGGAGAUCUUAGGGGUACUCUCGGGGUAGGAGUGAAAUCCUGUAAUCCUAGACGGACCACCUGUUGCGAAAGGGCCACAAAAAAACGGAUCCGACGGUCAGGGACGAAACUUAGGGUCUCGAACCGGAUUAGAUACCCGGGUAGCCCUAGCCGUAAACGCUGU